This 336-nucleotide unclassified non-coding RNA is filed under the name soil metagenome. RNAcentral's name for it is "partial contains 5.8S ribosomal RNA, internal transcribed spacer 2, and large subunit ribosomal RNA". The stretch from base 1 to 120 matches the Rfam family "5.8S ribosomal RNA", at positions 35 to 154 of the family's 154-position model. The record is from RNAcentral.
GAUGAAGAACGCAGCGAAAUGCGAUAAGUAAUGUGAAUUGCAGAAUUCAGUGAAUCAUCGAAUCUUUGAACGCACAUUGCGCCCGCCAGUAUUCUGGCGGGCAUGCCUGUUCGAGCGUCGUUUCAACCAUCAAGCCCCAGGCUUGUGUUGGGGACCUGCGGCUGCCGCAGGCCCUGAAAACCAGUGGCGGGCUCGCUGUCACACCGGGCGUAGUAGAUUUUAUCUCGCUCAGGGCGUGCUGCGGGUCCCGGCCGUUAAAAGCCUUUUUUUACCCAAGGUUGACCUCGGAUCAGGUAGGAAGACCCGCUGAACUUAAGCAUAUCAAUAAGCGGAGGA